AGUGAACGCUGGCGGUAGGCCUAACACAUGCAAGUCGAACGGCAGCACAGUAAGAGCUUGCUCUUACGGGUGGCGAGUGGCGGACGGGUGAGGAGUACAUCGGAAUCUACUUUUUCGUGGGGGAUAACGUAGGGAAACUUACGCUAAUACCGUAUACGACCUACGGGUGAAAGCAGGGGAUCUUCGGACCUUGCGCGAUUGAAUGAGCCGAUGUCGGAUUAGCUAGUUGGCGGGGUAAAGGCCCACCAAGGCGACGAUCCGUAGCUGGUCUGAGAGGAUGAUCAGCCACACUGGAACUGAGACACGGUCCAGACUCCUACGGGAGGCAGCAGUGGGGAAUAUUGGACAAUGGGCGCAAGCCUGAUCCAGCCAUACCGCGUGGGUGAAGAAGGCCUUCGGGUUGUAAAGCCCUUUUGUUGGGGAAGAAAAGCAGCAGGUUAAUACCCCGCUGUUCUGACGGUACCCAAAGAAUAAGCACCGGCUAACUUCGUG
RNAcentral lists this ribosomal RNA (492 nucleotides) under uncultured bacterium. Its description in RNAcentral is "partial 16S ribosomal RNA". It matches the Rfam family "Bacterial small subunit ribosomal RNA", at positions 29 to 507 of the family's 1533-position model. The record is from RNAcentral.